CCCUUAGAUGUUCUGGGCCGCACGCGCGCUACACUGAUUCAUGCAACAAGUUUUGUCCUUGGCUGAUAGGCCUGGGUAAUCUUUGAACGUGAAUCGUGAUGGGGAUAGAUGAUUGCAAUUAUUCAUCUUCAACGAGGAAUUCCUAGUAAACGCAAGUCAUCAGCUUGCAUUGAUUACGUCCCUGCCCUUUGUACACACCGCCCGUCGCACCUACCGAUUGAAUGGUCCGGUGAAAUCUUCGGAUCUGAGAGAUGUCUGAUUAAUUUCGGACGCCUUUUGGAAAAGUUGUUUAAACCUUACCAUUUAGAGGAAGGUGANGUCGUAACA
RNAcentral lists this ribosomal RNA (327 nucleotides) under uncultured eukaryote. Its description in RNAcentral is "partial 18S ribosomal RNA". It matches the Rfam family "Eukaryotic small subunit ribosomal RNA", at positions 1470 to 1796 of the family's 1831-position model. The record is from RNAcentral.